AGGGUUUGAAAGCCUAAAUCACCACGUUGACAUCGUGGGGGUCACUGGUUCGAGUCCAGUUGUGUCCA
This 68-nucleotide transfer RNA is filed under the name Thermoleptolyngbya sp. M55_K2018_002. Its description in RNAcentral is "tRNA-Val". It matches the Rfam family "tRNA". From Rfam's summary of the family: Transfer RNA (tRNA) molecules are approximately 80 nucleotides in length. Their secondary structure includes four short double-helical elements and three loops (D, anti-codon, and T loops). Lineage: Bacteria; Bacillati; Cyanobacteriota; Cyanophyceae; Oculatellales; Oculatellaceae. The record is from RNAcentral.